UUAUAGCCUGAUCAUUGUCCCUCCCUCUGUA
RNAcentral lists this non-coding RNA (31 nucleotides) under Homo sapiens (human). Lineage: Eukaryota; Metazoa; Chordata; Mammalia; Primates; Hominidae. The record is from RNAcentral.